Molecule: ribosomal RNA, 497 nt
Filed under: uncultured bacterium
Lineage: Bacteria
Description: partial 16S ribosomal RNA
Rfam family: Bacterial small subunit ribosomal RNA
Source: RNAcentral
GAUGAACGCUGGCGGCGUGCCUAAUACAUGCAAGUCGAGCGAACGGACGAGAAGCUUGCUUCUCUGAUGUUAGCGGCGGACGGGGGAGUAACACGUGGAUAACCUACCUAUAAGACUGGGAUAACUUCGGGAAACCGGAGCUACUACCGGCUAAUAUUUUGAACCGCAUGGUUCAAAAGUUAAAGACGGUCUUGCUGUCACUUAUAGAUGGAUCCGCGCUGCAUUAGCUAGUUGGUAAGGUAACGGCUUACCAAGGCAACGAUGCAUAGCCGACCUGAGAGGGUGAUCGGCCACACUGGAACUGAGACACGGUCCAGACUCCUAUGGGAGGCAGCAGUAGGGAAUCUUCCGCAAUGGGCGAAAGCCUGACGGAGCAACGCCGCGUGAGUGAUGAAGGUCUUCGGAUCGUAAAACUCUGUUAUUAGGGAAGAACAUAUGUGUAAGUAACUGUGCACAUCUUGACGGUACCUAAUCAGAAAGCCACGGCUAACUACGUG